CUGGCUAGAGUACGAGUUGUUGGUUGGUCUAAUUAUACCGAUUUCUAGCAUCUUUGCCACAUGUUUUCCUGUCUCUUACUUCAAGAAGUGAGGAUACCUAUAAAGCCUCACAUUGAUAGGAUCCACUUCAACCUUAAGGGGAAUCUUAUGAUCAUGUUUCCUUCUGGUGGGAGGUCAGUAGGCUCCUUGAACAAUUCCCCAUACCUCCUCAAGAUAUCUUCUAGUUCUAGGGAUUGGUUUGGAGUUAAUUGUUCCAUUCCCUUUUCUCUUCUUUCCGUCUUAGUUUUUUCCAGGCUCCAAACCAGAGUUACCACCUCAAUUCCUGUUUCCUUCACUAAUGCUUCAGGAGUCACCAUUUUCUUGCCUAGAGUAGGGUCACCCUCAAUCAUCACCUCCCUAUCUCCUUUCCCAAAACUCAUUGUUAGAUUCUUCCAAUUCAUUUGGACUUCCCCAAGAGAUGCUAGCCAUGUUACCUCCAAUAUUAGGUCUAUUCCACCUAGAAAUUCUCCCUUACUUCCAUCCCUUCCAACACAACUAAAACAUCCCUACAACAUCCACUUGUGACCUUCUUAUGGCCAUCUCGCAAGCACACUGUAUAGGGAAAAGUUUCUUCUACCCCAAACCCAGUUCUUUUACCAGUUUGGUUGAGAUAAAGUUGUGGUUGUAUUAAAAUAAGGCCCAAAAGCCUUAAAGCGAAGGCCCAGUCCACAAAGUCUACAAGAGAUAAAAUAUCUCCUGAUCAAAACCACUGCCUCGAGGCAGUUUGUGUCAGCAAAGAGAGAUAAUACGAAAACAUCUUCUGGAAGCUUGGAGAGGAAGAGCACGAAGCUCUCUUGCAAUGAACGUUUAUGGCUACCGGAAGGCGGAAGAGAAGCAGUUCGGGAAAGACGCUCCAGGGAAGAAGAUCUCCCAUGUUUACAACCAGAGCUCCAUACACAGGAGGAACAUCGAUCCAGUGAUUCUGAUGAAGAACUUGAAGACCACCAAGUUGAUCUUGUAGAAGUAAAGUCAUGAAGUUACCGUCUGUGUGUUUGGAAGUGCCCAUAGUUAAUUCAGGUUCAGGGCAUGGUGGAUAGUAGUGACCCAUGAUAUAGAGCCCUUCACCACAAUUCAUCUCUUUAAGGUAAGAAGCAUCAAGUCCCAAAGCCUCUGACAAUAAUUCAAAGAUUGUAAAACCCAAAUCCCUUAUUUUCUUUGAAUAUUCAAUCAAAAUAUCCCUGCCAGAGAGUAAUUAA
Non-coding RNA from Vigna umbellata (rice bean), 1235 nucleotides. The record is from RefSeq and is a predicted model, not a curated record. Lineage: Eukaryota; Viridiplantae; Streptophyta; Magnoliopsida; Fabales; Fabaceae.